CCGUAGCCUGGUAGCGGGGGGUAACUAUUGGAAACGAUAGCUAAUACCGCAUAACAGUAGAUAUCGCAUGAUAGCUGCUUGAAAGGUGCAAAUGCACCACUACCAGAUGGACCUGCGUUGUAUUAGCUAGUUGGUGAGGUAACGGCUCACCAAGGCAACGAUACAUAGCCGACCUGAGAGGGUGAUCGGCCACACUGGGACUGAGACACGGCCCAG
Molecule: ribosomal RNA, 216 nt
Filed under: uncultured bacterium
Lineage: Bacteria
Description: partial 16S ribosomal RNA
Rfam family: Bacterial small subunit ribosomal RNA
Source: RNAcentral